RNAcentral lists this ribosomal RNA (866 nucleotides) under uncultured bacterium. RNAcentral describes it as "bacterial SSU rRNA". It matches the Rfam family "Bacterial small subunit ribosomal RNA", at positions 58 to 916 of the family's 1533-position model. The record is from RNAcentral.
CAAGUCGAACGGCAGCACGGGAGCUUGCUCCUGGUGGCGAGUGGCGAACGGGUGAGUAAUAUAUCGGAACGUAUCCAAUAAUGGGGGAUAACUAGUCGAAAGAUUAGCUAAUACCGCAUACGCCCUGAGGGGGAAAGCUGGGGAUCUUCGGACCUAGCGUUAAUGGAGCGGCCGAUAUCUGAUUAGCUAGUAGGUGAGGUAAGAGCUCACCUAGGCGACGAUCAGUAGCUGGUCUGAGAGGACGACCAGCCACACUGGAACUGAGACACGGUCCAGACUCCUACGGGAGGCAGCAGUGGGGAAUUUUGGACAAUGGGCGCAAGCCUGAUCCAGCCAUUCCGCGUGAGUGAAGAAGGCCUUCGGGUUGUAAAGCUCUUUCGCAAGGGAAGAAAACUUAACCUCUAACAUAGGUUGAGGCUGACGGUACCUUGAUAAGAAGCACCGGCUAACUACGUGCCAGCAGCCGCGGUAAUACGUAGGGUGCGAGCGUUAAUCGGAAUUACUGGGCGUAAAGCGUGCGCAGGCGGCCUGAUAAGUCAGAUGUGAAAUCCCCGAGCUCAACUUGGGAACUGCGUUUGAAACUAUCAAGCUAGAAUAUGUCAGAGGGGGGUAGAAUUCCACGUGUAGCAGUGAAACGCGUAGAGAUGUGGAGGAAUACCAAUGGCGAAGGCAGCCCCCUGGGAUAAUAUUGACGCUCAUGCACGAAAGCGUGGGGAGCAAACAGGAUUAGAUACCCUGGUAGUCCACGCCCUAAACGAUGUCUACUAGUUGUUGGUGGAGUAAAAUCCAUGAGUAACGCAGCUAACGCGUGAAGUAGACCGCCUGGGGAGUACGGUCGCAAGAUUAAAACUCAAAGGAAUUGACGG